CUUAAAACAAAUCAUUCAACACGUUUUGACAUCUAAUUUAUCCAUGUCAAGCUUCAUGCAUUUACACUAGUCACACAGGCUUCACAACUGAUACUCACACCCAUGCACACUUGGGUAUAUCUAAUAUUGGGAAAGAAAGACCACGCCAUUUUGUUGGUUUAGUCCAAACACCACUUCCUCCAAACAUGCUAACUGUUCCUCGCUGUUCUUUAUCCUCAUUGACCCCACUUUCUCUACUGAAAAUGAAAUUAUAACAGAAUUAUAUGCUCAUCAAGACCUUCAAAAUAUUGGGUCCUUUCUUCUUCAACUUGUCUUCUUCAGCUAGACUCAAGCCAGCACAACUAUUGCACAACCAACAAAAAUCACCUAAACCCCCCCUCCCCCCAACAAAGAAACCACCACUACCACCACCACAACGAGCAUCAAAACCACCACCAUACCUCAAUGCCACCAUUGUUGAAAACUAUAGCAGUCUCAAACCACUACUACCAGCACCACAGGCAACAUCAACACCACCACACCCCGACGCCAUCCCUAUUGAAAACUGUAGCAGCCCCAAACCACCACAACCACGACCAUAAGUAGCAUCAACACCACCACCACAACAUUCCCACUUCGCCACUACUAAAAACCACAUUAGCAUGAAAAUCAUCUGCCGUUUAAAGAUCUUCGAAGAAUUUGAAAGAUUUGGUCAUUGGAACCAUAGUGAAGGCAUCAGUUAUAGUUAGGGCU
Molecule: long non-coding RNA, 732 nt
Filed under: Olea europaea subsp. europaea
Lineage: Eukaryota; Viridiplantae; Streptophyta; Magnoliopsida; Lamiales; Oleaceae
Source: RNAcentral